Molecule: ribosomal RNA, 158 nt
Filed under: uncultured bacterium
Lineage: Bacteria
Description: partial 16S ribosomal RNA
Rfam family: Bacterial small subunit ribosomal RNA
Source: RNAcentral
UGAUGCAGCCAUGCCGCGUGUAUGAAGAAGGCCUUCGGGUUGUAAAGUACUUUCAGCGGGGAGGAAGGGAGUAAAGUUAAUACCUUUGCUCAUUGACGUUACCCGCAGAAGAAGCACCGGCUAACUCCGUGCCAGCAGCCGCGGUAAUACUCUGGGCG